AAAUGAGUAGAAUGCUAGGUCUCCUCUGCACAAAUGUUAUAGAGGUAUUCCACUCUUUUAAAUAUGGAAUAAAGCUCCUCAGUGGCACAGAGUGUUUCAGCACCCAGGUGAGAUUGUGUUUUCUGCAUGCACACUUUUCAACCACUUUGAAUGUCACCUUCACACAUAGACAGAGCCCACUUCUGAGGUCCUGAAUUAAUACAUGACUUGUGUACUUAUAUCCAACAUACUGAAAGUGCUUACUCUCAUACCUAGAACCAGGACAUGUGCAGAAUUGUUAAUCCUUUUACUGAACCUCCCUGUAUUUUUGAUUGGGACAUAUGCCUUUGAAAAACAUUGAAGUAAUUUGACUCUUGUUCUUUGACCCAGCCUUCAGAUGGGAUUGUUUCAUAUAGCUGAACCAGCACCCAUGUGACUCUUUUCUCCUGCCUUGAGCUGCACACAGGGGGCAUUGUGACAUAAUGCUGGGUCUUGAACACAGGUUAUGUAAGAAUCCUUUUCUAUUUUGGUACAUUUUGAGAUGGAGUUUCAUUCUUGUUGCCCAGGCUGCAGUGCAAUGGCACGAUCUCGGCUCACCACAACCUCUGCCUCACAAGUUCAAGCAAUUCUCCUCCCUCAGCCUCCUGAGUAGCUGGGAUUAGAGGCAUGUGCCACUGCACCUGGCUAAUUUUGCAUUUUUAGUAGAAGUGGGUUUUAUCCAUGUUGGUCAGGCUGGUCUCCAACUCCUGACCUCAGGUGAUCCGCUCACCAUGGCCUCCCAAAGUGCUGGGAUUACAAGCGUGAGUCACCACACCUGGCCAUCUUGGUAUUUUUUACAGAGGGCAUUGUAACAUAUUGCUGGGCCCCACACUAAGUUUUCUGUGAAUCUUUUGUGGCCUGGCACACUUACUGUGACAUAUGGCUGCGUCAAACAUGCAGGUGAUGUAACUAUUCUGCCUGAGCCCUCUUUACAGGGAGCAUUGUGACAUAUCUCUGUGUCUGUUACCCCAGUGAUGUGACUCUCCUCUGCCUGAUUCCUGCUCACAAACAGAAUUGUGACAUUUUUGCUGGACCCAGCCUCUAGCUUAUGUGGCUCUAUUCUCCUGUCUUGGUGCUGCCCGUAGGGGACAUUGUGACAUACUUCUUGGCCAUGAACCCAGGUUAUGUGAGCCUUUCUGUGCCCUGCCCAUGUGGACAAUUGUGACAUAUUACCGAGUCCUACACCCAGGCGAUGCUACUCUCCUGUCUGGUCCUUGCCUACAGGGAACAUUGUGACAUAUCUCUUUGCCAUUCAUCCAGGUAAUGUGGGUCUUUUGGUUUUUCUUGUUUUCCCUCACAGGGGAGAUUGUGACAUACUGCUGGGCCCAGCAUUUGGUUAUGUGACUCUAUAUUCCUGUCUCGGAGUUACCCACAGAGGGCAAUGUGCCACAUCACUGGACCUUACAUCCAGGUGAUGUGAGUCUCUUUUUCUGCCUUGGCACUGCCCCACAAGGGUUACUUGAUUCUCCUGCUUGUGGUCUGCCCUCAUGGGUCAUUGUGACAUAUUGCAGGGUCCAACACCCAGGUUAUGUGACUCUCUUGCCUGGGCCAGGGGAACAGGGGUAUUGUCACAUAUCUCUGUGUCUAUCACUCAGGACUCUUUUCCUGUCUGGUGUCUGCUCACAGAGGAGAUUUUUACCUAUCACCGAGUUCAGCACUUAGCUGAUGUAACUCUUCUCUGCUUCCUAGGUUCUGCCCACAGGGAAGAUUGUGGUGAAUUACUGAACGCGAUACCUAGAUGAAGGAGAGACUAUAACAUACCUCUUGGCCCAGCACCUAGUUGAUGUAACUCUGCUCUCCUGCCUGGGCCACACCUACAGAAGAAAGAGUGACUUCUCACUGGGCCAGCACACAGGUCAUGUUAUUUUACUGCCUUGAUCCUUGUCCACAAUAAUCAUUGUACAUAGUUUUGGGCUCUUCUACUAGAAGACGUGAGUCUCCUCUUCUUCCUGGGAUCUGUCCACAGGGGGGAUUGUGACAUAUCAUUUGACCCAGCACCUAUAUGAUGUGACCAUCAUCUGAUGCCUUGGCCCUUCUCACUGGGCUGAUUGUGACAUAUAACUGGGCACAGCUUCUAGGUUAUGUGACUCUUCUCUUCCUCCUGGGUCCUACCCAUAGGAGGCAUUGUGACAUAUCUCUAAGCACUUAAACUAGGAAAUAUGACACUUUUUUCUGGGCUCUCCCCUAAGAGAGUACUGUGACGUAUUUCUGGACCCAGCACCUAGGUGAUGUUACACUUCUCUCCUACCUGUUACCUGUUACUGGCAGCAAAUCCAUAUGGGCAUGGAUCUGCAGCAACCUUAAUUCUUACCUCCUAAGAAGAAAAAACUCAACUUAGAGGCAUAAGGCAGAAGGAGAGACUGAGGAAAGUUUUAGAACAGGAGUGACAACUGUAGAACAGAAACAAAAUGAAGGAAAGUACACUUGGAAGAGGGCCAAGUGGGUGACUAAAAAGGGAAGUGCACGGUUUGACAUUUGACCUGGGGUUUUCUAUGUUGGCAUACUUCUGGGGUCUCACAUUAAUUCUCCCCAUUGCCUAACUCCUGAGAUCUUAUUGGGAAGUUGCUGAUUACCAGUUUUAGGUAAUCCACUAAUUGUCUGCUUGAGAGGAGAAGAGAUGCUGAAGUUAACAGUGGGUCCCUCUUCAUCCUUGGGGUUCUGGAAUGAAUCAGUCUUACCAUGUACCCCUAACUUUUCAUGCCCUUAUCAAGAAGCAAUGUUUAUUUGAAUCAGGUGGGCAAAGUGUUUCAAAAGUCACUGGAAAACUCAGUUCUGGGACAUAAUAGGAAUAAAAAGUAUACAGUAAGUCAUAAGAAACUGACAGAGCCAGAGUUCAAAUUGGUGCCUGUCCUGACAAUGUGCCAGCAGACACGGAAGGGUUGGAGGUCAUCUGAGCAGGUAGGGUAAGAACAAGUAUAAAUCUCAGGGGAUAUCCACAAGGGAGCCAGUGUCUUUGCUGCCAUGCAAAUGCAGUAAAAGCCAUGGAUGCUUAAAUAACAGGGAGUUUGUGUUUAAGAAGUCACAUGGCACGUGAAGUGAAAGCAAAGAGGCAGAUGUGCCCCGGAAGCAGAUAGUCCAGCAGGUGAGUAAGGCCAUUUCUGAACACACACAGGGAACACAGGAGAAUAGACAGUGCAGGUUUUGGGGAAAGAGACAAUUUUAGUAGGAACCCUAAGACAUUUCAUGGUGUUCAGCUUUAGCCCUAUUACUCUUGAGAGUCUCCUGUCCAGGAGGGCCAUAAGUGCAUCAGUUCUACUCAGCAUGGACCCCAAGGUUCUUCCCACCCCUGCAAACCAUCUGUCAGGGUGAGCAGAGAGAUAGCCCAUGGAAACAGAGCCACUUGUGGCUGAGAGGAAUCAUUCUGGGAGCUGGUUAGUAAGCCAUAGAGUGAAAGGGAAAAGAAAAUCAUAUAGAGGGGUUAGCUGCCUCUAGCCAAUGAAGGUGAGGCAUAAAGGUCUUUCACCACUAGGGGACAUAUCUGAGUCAUGCACACCAAAGCAUGUUAGCAGCAAAAGGUACCAAGUCACACAGCACCAAAACAUGUUACCAGCAGUGAAUCCGCAUGGGUACGGGUCUGUAGCAACCUCAUUUCUUGCCUCUUCAGAAGAAAAAAUUGACUGAGGGGCUUAAGGCAGAAAGAGAGACUGGGGGAAGUUUUAGAGCAGGAGUGAAAGUUUAUUAAAAAGCUUUAGAACAGGAACAAAAGGAAGGAAAGUACACUUGGAAGAGGGCCAAGCAGGUGACUUCAAAGGCAAGUGAGCGGUUUGACUUUUUGACUUUGGGUUUUAUAUGUUGGCAUACUUUUGGGGUCUUGUGUUACUUUUCCCACCUCACCCAACUCCUGAGAUCUUAUUGGGAAGCUGCUGAUCACCAGUUUCACGUGCUUUCUAUUUAGGAGACUGUCUUUCCCUGGUGCCGGUUGUCACCAAUUAUUACUUUAGAGAGACAGUUAACAACUGCCUGACCAUCACCUAAUGGCUGACUGACACUCCUGGUGUGUGUGUUGAGGGCGGAGUCCUCUCUUGCCCUGCUCAUACCUCACUGGCUACCUACUUUAACACUGCAAGCAUUGUGUAAUGUUGGUAAAGGAGUUAGAAAGAAAUUAUUUAGGCAGAUAGUGAGGGUAAAAGAGUCCUCACCAGAAUUUUUCUUCUAACAAAAAGCAGCCCAAGAAAUUUUCUUUUUCAAUCAUCAGCCUGAAAAAUUGAGCUGCAAAAACAGAUAAGCAACCUGGAAGUUUUUAUGGGGGAAUGCCAGCAGUUGUGUUAAUAGAAAAGGGCAACCUGGGGGCUGGGCAUAUCCAAAAUGGGGGCUCCAUCUUUCCUUCUUUGUGACCAUGUAUACGGUAAAGAAAUCGGCAACAUGGUACCCACCAGGCAAAGAACCCAUAUGCAUAAUAAAGAAUUAGGGUGUGGUGGCCAGCUUUUUGUUCUCUAUGCAAAUGGCACACCUGGUCCAACCAAUCUUUUGCACCCUAUGUAAAUCGGACACCACCUCCUCAAGCUUAUCUAUAAAACCUCCUGCAUUUCACCAUGGAACCAGUAACCAAUCUCUGUGGGACUCCUCUCUACUGCAGAGAGCUCUUCUCUUUCUUUGCCUAUUAAACUUCCACUCUUGACCUCAGUCUUGUGUGUCUGCAUCCUUGAUUUUCUUGGUGUAAGACAAGAAACUCUGGGUAUCACACCAGACAAUAAAGCUGCUUCAUUGUGACUCUCCUGCAUGGAUAUAUAUAUAUACACACACGG
Molecule: long non-coding RNA, 4763 nt
Filed under: Homo sapiens (human)
Lineage: Eukaryota; Metazoa; Chordata; Mammalia; Primates; Hominidae
Description: HSALNT0257239
Source: RNAcentral